UACGUAGGGGGCGAGCGUUAUCCGGAAUUAUUGGGCGUAAAGCGCGCGCAGGCGGCCGAUUAAGUCAGGUGUGAAAGGCUGCGGCUCAACCGCAGAGCGGCACCUGAAACUGGUCGGCUUGAGUGCAGGAGAGGGGAGUGGAAUUCCCGGUGUAGCGGUGGAAUGCGUAGAGAUCGGGAGGAACACCAGUGGCGAAGGCGGCUCUCUGGCCUGUAACUGACGCUGAGGCGCGAAAGCGUGGGGAGCAAACAGGAUUAGAUACCCUGGUAGUCCACGCCGUAAACGAUGAGUGCUAGGUGUUGGGGGGUUCCCCCCUCAGUGCCGAAGGUAACCCAUUAAGCACUCCGCCUGGGGAGUACGGCCGCAAGGCUGAA
Molecule: ribosomal RNA, 374 nt
Filed under: uncultured bacterium
Lineage: Bacteria
Description: bacterial SSU rRNA
Rfam family: Bacterial small subunit ribosomal RNA
Source: RNAcentral